RNAcentral lists this ribosomal RNA (477 nucleotides) under uncultured bacterium. Its description in RNAcentral is "partial 16S ribosomal RNA". It matches the Rfam family "Bacterial small subunit ribosomal RNA", at positions 28 to 507 of the family's 1533-position model. The record is from RNAcentral.
GAUUAACGCUGGCGGCGUGCCUAACACAUGCAAGUCGAACGAUGAAACUUAGUCGACUUCUUCGGAAAGACACUAAGCGGAUUAGUGGCGAACGGGUGAGUAACGCGUGAGUAACCUGCCUUACACAAGGGGAUAGCCUUUGGAAACGAAGAAUAAUACCCUAUAAAACCAUAAAAGCACAUGCUAGAAUGGUCAAAGUGAUAGCGGUGUAAGAUGGACUUGCGUCUGAUUAGCUAGUUGGUGAGAUAAAAGCUCACCAAGGCAACGAUCAGUAGCCGGCUUGAGAGAGUGUACGGCCACAUUGGGACUGAGACACGGCCCAGACUCCUACGGGAGGCAGCAGUGGGGAAUUUUGCACAAUGGGGGAAACCCUGAUGCAGCGACGCCGCGUGAUUUAGAAGGCCUUCGGGUUGUAAAAAUCUUUUGUAUAGGAAGAAAAUGACAGUACUAUACGAAUAAGGUCCGGCUAAUUACGUG